Molecule: ribosomal RNA, 497 nt
Filed under: uncultured bacterium
Lineage: Bacteria
Description: partial 16S ribosomal RNA
Rfam family: Bacterial small subunit ribosomal RNA
Source: RNAcentral
GAUGAACGCUGGCGGCGUGCCUAAUACAUGCAAGUCGAGCGAACAGACGAGGAGCUUGCUUCUCUGACGUUAGCGGCGGACGGGUGAGUAACACGUGGAUAACCUACCUAUAAGACUGGGAUAACUUCGGGAAACCGGAGCUAAUACCGGAUAAUAUAUUGAACCGCAUGGUUCAAUAGUGAAAGACGGUUUUGCUGUCACUUGUAGAUGGAUCCGCGCCGCAUUAGCUAGUUGGUAAGGUAACGGCUUACCAAGGCAACGAUGCGUAGCCGACCUGAGAGGGUGAUCGGCCACACUGGAACUGAGACACGGUCCAGACUCCUACGGGAGGCAGCAGUAGGGAAUCUUCCGCAAUGGGCGAAAGCCUGACGGAGCAACGCCGCGUGAGUGAUGAAGGUCUUCGGAUCGUAAAACUCUGUUAUUAGGGAAGAACAAAUGUGUAAGUAACUAUGCACGUCUUGACGGUACCUAAUCAGAAAGCCACGGCUAACUACGUG